UACAGAGGUCCCAAGCGUUGUUCGGAUUCACUGGGCGUAAAGGGUGCGUAGGUGGCGAGGUAAGUCGGAUGUGAAAGCUCGGAGCUCAACUCCGAAAUGGCAUUGGAAACUACCUUGCUCGAGGGUUGGAGGGGGGACUGGAAUACUUGGUGUAGCAGUGAAAUGCGUAGAUAUCAAGUGGAACACCAGUGGCGAAGGCGAGUCCCUGAACAACUCCUGACACUGAGGCGCGAAAGCUAGGGGAGCAAACAGG
RNAcentral lists this ribosomal RNA (253 nucleotides) under uncultured bacterium. RNAcentral's name for it is "partial 16S ribosomal RNA". It matches the Rfam family "Bacterial small subunit ribosomal RNA", at positions 524 to 776 of the family's 1533-position model. The record is from RNAcentral.